RNAcentral lists this long non-coding RNA (2697 nucleotides) under Zostera marina. RNAcentral's name for it is "long non-coding RNA (ZMAR_LNC006098)". The record is from RNAcentral. Lineage: Eukaryota; Viridiplantae; Streptophyta; Magnoliopsida; Alismatales; Zosteraceae.
UCUGCUAUCACUGUGUUACGUUACUUAAUAGUAUGCCUCCGCUAUUACGUUGUUACGCUAUUUCGUACUAUGUCUCCUCUAUUACUGUGUUACGUUACUUUGGAGUCUAAAUCAAAGGGAUUUCUCACUUGUAGUGUAAAAAAUACCCUUGGUCAAAUAAGAUCUGGAGAUACAACUACAAGUUCAUCACUUGAAACUAGCAUGAGUCAGUCAUCAAGUAUCAACCCAUCUACAUCUGAAAAUUUAGAUGAAAAUUCUAGUCAAAUACAAACAAAUCUAGAGUUUAUAACUAGUCCUGAAAAUUCAGAGUCUACAACUCAAAAUUCAGUCAACAUAAGCGAUAGGUUAGGUCAAAAUUCUACCACCAACACUUCGAAUAAAUCUAGUACUAUUCCUGAAAACGAUAAUGCAAUAAUAAUGAAUAGAAACAUCAAUAUAAAGAACCCAAGAAGAUCAGAAAGAGUAAGGAUUACUUUCACUAAAUAUGAUAAUGAUUAUGAUUGCAAUAUUGCUUAUGAUACUAAUAGUUGUUGUGAGCCUAAGUCUUUUACAGAAGCUAUGAAACAUGAAUGUUGGAGGAAGGCCAUGAACGAAGAGAUGGAGGCAAUUAAAAACAACAACAUAUGGAGUUUAGUUCCUAGAAGUGAAGGAAUGAAUAUUAUAGGUUCAAGAUGAGUGUAUAAGGCGAAAACUAAUUCAGAUGGUUCUAUCCAAAGGUACAAGGCAAUGUUGGUUGCACAAGGGUACAACCAAGAAGAAGGUGUAGAUUACAGUUACACAUAUAGUCCAGUUAUUAAAAUGUCAACAGUCAGAACAACACUAUCUUUGGCAGUGACAAAUAAAUGGUGUUUAAGGCAACUUGAUGUCAAGAAUGCUUUCUUGAAUGGUGAGUUACAGGAAACAAUUUAUAUGAGACAGCCUAAGGGAUUCAAAGAUAAAGAAAGACCGGAGGAUGUUUGUUUAUUAAACAAGGCACUCUAUGGACUAAAGCAAGCAUCAAGAGCAUGGUAUCUCAAACUUCAACAAAAAUUGAUUGAGAUUGGGUUUAAAAAUUCAGUAAUUGAUGCAUCCUUAUUCAUCAAGAAAAGUGAGGAGUCUACCAUAUUAAUACUGGUUUAUGUGGAUAUAUGACAUUGUCAUCACGGGGAACUGUUUAGAAGAUGUUGAAGAUUUCAUUAAAAAAAUAUGUAAUGCUUUCUCAUGCAGGGAUAUGGGGAAGUUAAGCUAUUUUGUGGGACUAGAAUGCAUUUACAGUGGAGACACAAUAGUUCUCUCACAGGAGAAGUAUGUUAAUGAAAUAUUGAAGAAAUUUGGGUUUGAUAAAGCAAAACCAGCAACCACACCCAGGCUAUUGUCAUUAAAAAUUCACACUGAUAUGGGAGAAAAAUUAGAUGAUAUAACUCACUAUAGAAGUAUUGUGGGAUCACUUCAAUAUACGACAUUGACUAGGCCUGAUUUGUCUUUUGCAGUAAAUCAAGUAUGCCAAUAUCUUCAUAAUCCAAGAGUUGGGCACCUUAAUGCAGUUAAAAGAAUAUUGAGGUACCUUAGGGGUACAUCAAGUUGGGGACUGAGAAUUACAUGGAAUAUGGACAGUGUAAAAACCUUGGUAGCUUACAGUGAUUCUGAUUGGGGAGGUACAGAAGAUAGAAGUUCCAUUACAGGAUCAAAUAUAUGGUACAUGGGAAAUGUGUUGACAUGGUCAGCAAGAAAACAACCUACAGUAUCAAUCUCAACAGCAGAGGCAGAAUUCAAAGCAUUAACUCAUGUGACUUCUGAACUCAGAUGGUUUUGUUUUUUAUUUAGGGAACUGGAUAUAAAAUUGGAUAGACCCCCAUCAUAUUAUGCGACAACAAAUCAGCUAUUUUUAUGAGUAAAAAUCCUACUAUUACAUCAGGAUCAAGACGUAUUGAAAUGAGAUACUACUUUGUUAGAGAAUUGAUAAAUAAAAAGGCGUUGGUCAUCGAACACAUACCUUCCUAUCUACAAUAUGCAGAUGGGUUCACGAAGACUUUGGGGACUAAUGAUUUUCGUCGACACAGAGAGCGACAUAAGAUGGUUCCGGUUCCGCUAAGCGAAUGUUCAAUCUUGCCAAGUUCAGUCCUGUCAAGUCGAUCUGAGUUCGAGCCAAGUGAUACAUUGGUCGCCACCACCGCCGAAUCUGUUUUCAAAUCUCUUGGUCAAUAGCCCAAUCGAUUUGAGGGAGGAUGUGAAAUACUCUCAUAUAUAUUAUUAAAAUAGUAAAGAGAUGGAUCGACCAGCAAAAGAUAUGAAGAAAACGAUGGUGAAUCGGUGAUAUGUGAAAUACUCUCAUAUAUAUUAUUAAAAUAUUAAAGAGAUGGAUCGAUCAGCAAGAGAUAUGAAGAAAAUGAAGAAACGAUGGUGAUGUGAAGAAGACAAGUCAUAAAAUCAUAAACAGAAAUGGGUUGAUCGGAAUGUUGAUCAACAAGUCCUCUUCCGGAUGUGAAAUAUUCUCAUAUACAUAUAUUAUUAAAAUAUUAAAGAGCCUCGCCGUUUAUUUCUUCCAGCACACGGGUUUUUGCAACAUCAGAUGCCUAUGUUUCCAAGCUGUUGAAGAAAAUCCAGCAGGUCCAUUCGCAUCACUACGUCAAGGAGCAAAAUCUAUACUCUAAAAUUACUGCCGUCUGCAUACUCCCUAAACCCUAACGGUAAUUGUCUGAACACCAUUUAUAAAGAAAC